RNAcentral lists this transfer-messenger RNA (366 nucleotides) under Caulobacter sp. 17J65-9. Its description in RNAcentral is "Alphaproteobacteria transfer-messenger RNA". It matches the Rfam family "Alphaproteobacteria transfer-messenger RNA". From Rfam's summary of the family: Bacterial tmRNA, also known as 10Sa RNA or SsrA, is named for its dual tRNA and mRNA-like properties. Its role is to liberate the mRNA from a stalled ribosome. The record is from Rfam by way of RNAcentral. Lineage: Bacteria; Pseudomonadati; Pseudomonadota; Alphaproteobacteria; Caulobacterales; Caulobacteraceae.
GGUCUUCCGCUUCGCCGAUCGCGUCCCUAUAUUCGACCUGUCCGGUUUCGACCGGACUAUGGGGAUAAACGCGCGCGAAAUAAGCGGACCGGACCCGGGUGCGAUUCCCGGCGGCUCCACCAUUACCUUCCUCCGCGUUAUCGGCGGGAAAGCAUGGGGCCGAUCAGCAUCGACGGACGUGUAAAGGCGUUGCUUUCUCUCGGCCUGACCCACCGUUUCGGGUCAUUUACUAACUGCGAACGAUAACUUCGCUGAAGAGUUCGCUGUCGCUGCGUAAUGCGGCGCCGGUGAGUUCGACCUAAAGCCCUGGGGGUUCAGAUCCUCAGGCGGGGCUCGGGGGAGGCCUGGCAACAGAACUCCCCCACU